Molecule: ribosomal RNA, 469 nt
Filed under: uncultured bacterium
Lineage: Bacteria
Description: partial 16S ribosomal RNA
Rfam family: Bacterial small subunit ribosomal RNA
Source: RNAcentral
GACGAACGCUGGCGGCGUGCUUAACACAUGCAAGUCGAACGGAAAGGCCCUGCUUUUGUGGGGUGCUCGAGUGGCGAACGGGUGAGUAAACACGUGAGUAACCUGCCCUUGACUUUGGGAUAACUUCAGGAAACUGGGGCUAAUACCGGAUAGGAGCUCCUGCUGCAUGGUGGGGGUUGGAAAGUUUCGGCGGUUGGGGAUGGACUCGCGGCUUAUCAGCUUGUUGGUGGGGUAGUGGCUUACCAAGGCUUUGACGGGUAGCCGGCCUGAGAGGGUGACCGGCCACAUUGGGACUGAGAUACGGCCCAGACUCCUACGGGAGGCAGCAGUGGGGAAUAUUGCACAAUGGGCGGAAGCCUGAUGCAGCAACGCCGCGUGCGGGAUGACGGCCUUCGGGUUGUAAACCGCUUUCGCCUGUGACGAAGCGUGAGUGACGGUAAUGGGUAAAGAAGCACCGGCUAACUACGUG